CGGACGGGUGAGUAAUACUUAGGAAUCUGCCCAUUAGUGGGGGACAACUAGAAGAAAUUCUAGCUAAUACCGCAUACGCCCUACGGGGGAAAGCGGGGGAUCUUCGGACCUCGCGCUAAUGGAUGAGCCUAAGUCGGAUUAGCUUGUUGGUGAGGUAAAGGCUCACCAAGGCGACGAUCCGUAGCUGGUCUGAGAGGACGAUCAGCCACACUGGGACUGAGACACGGCCCAG
Molecule: ribosomal RNA, 232 nt
Filed under: uncultured bacterium
Lineage: Bacteria
Description: partial 16S ribosomal RNA
Rfam family: Bacterial small subunit ribosomal RNA
Source: RNAcentral